GAUGAAGAACGUAGCGAAAUGCGAUAAGUAAUGUGAAUUGCAGAAUUCAGUGAAUCAUCGAAUCUUUGAACGCACAUUGCGCCCGCCAGUAUUCUGGCGGGCAUGCCUGUCCGAGCGUCAUUUCAACCAUCGAACCCCUCCGGGGGGUCGGCGUUGGGGAUCGGCCCUUUACGGGGCCGGCCCCGAAAUACAGUGGCGGUCUCGCCGCAGCCUCUCCUGCGCAGUAGUUUGCACACUCGCAUCGGGAGCGCGGCGCGUCCACAGCCGUUAAACACCCCAAACUUCUGAAAUGUUGACCUCGGAUCAGGUAGGAAUACCCGCUGAACUUAAGCAUAUCAAUAAGCGGAGGA
RNAcentral lists this unclassified non-coding RNA (350 nucleotides) under soil metagenome. Its description in RNAcentral is "partial contains 5.8S ribosomal RNA, internal transcribed spacer 2, and large subunit ribosomal RNA". The stretch from base 1 to 120 matches the Rfam family "5.8S ribosomal RNA", at positions 35 to 154 of the family's 154-position model. The record is from RNAcentral.